GGGCGGUGGUGAUGGUAGUGUGAUCAUAUAGUGUCACUUAUUAUCUGUAUCAUUAAUUUAGAAUCUCAUGAGAUUUCUUUCUUAAUUGGAUUUGUGAAGAAGGUGCUUGUAAGGACACUUUUUUGUUAUAAAAUAAAGAAAAAAAUUUAAGAAAUCCUCCUAUGGAAAGCUCUAUAAAUCCUCCAACAUCACUUCAUCCCAUGUCUCUACCCCUGGGGGUGGUGACUUAGUUUUCUUUGUGAAAGAGAUAGGUUUCACCUAUUGCUUGAAAGGUGCAGAAGAGGUUUAGAAGAAGAAAAGGUACCUUAUCUUGCAAUAUUACUGCAGAGGUGUAAGAUCAAGUUCUAUUGAAAUGAUUCCCACACCUUUCUCUCUCUUUCUCUCUUUAUUUUCUAUCUCUGUUUAUAUCUCUGAGUGACUGUCUUGUUUUAUUGUUUAGGUUCAUGGGUUCUCAUGGAUGACCAGGUCUUCUCAGGUUACAGCUUUAUUGUUAACCAAAACAAAGACUGAUAUGUCCAGUCAUUUGCCCAGGAAUUUUCAAAGAUGCUUCUGUGAGAAAGUGACAAGUGUGAAACCCAUCAACAGCACCACCUCACCAUUUUCAAGCUUCUCUCAAUUUGAUUUUGAUUCUUUUCCUGUACGUCCAAAGCGAAACAGCUAAAAAGGGCUUCUCCUGAGCAUCAAGGCUACAGGAAAUACUAUUCCCAAAUUGUCCUUCCUUUACUUCAAAAUGACAAAUUUUUACUUGUAAAUCUUAGACCCCAAAAAACAAAAAAGGGAGAAAAAAAUGGAAUAUGUUUCUUCUUGUAAUGUAAUGCUAAUGGGAUAUGUUCUUUGAUUCUUUCUUUUCA
This is a long non-coding RNA of Macadamia integrifolia, 851 nucleotides long. RefSeq lists it as uncharacterized. Lineage: Eukaryota; Viridiplantae; Streptophyta; Magnoliopsida; Proteales; Proteaceae. The transcript has 2 exons. The record is from RefSeq and is a predicted model, not a curated record.